UUUUUUCUUUUUUCCUGAUUUUUUUUAUCAUAUACAAAAACUAAUGUUUAUCGUAUGUAAUACUAAUCCAUUAUAUUUUGUUUCCAUGGGAUGAAGGCUCUAUAAGUUGAGUUGGACUCUUUUAUGAUUGGCUUUAAUGUUUCAUGAUUAGAUUUAUUCUUUGAGUGUUGGCUGAGAGUGGGAUCAAAUCAUUCCUCAAGCACUUUGGAAGCUUUUUUGAACACGAACUUCAGUAACAUUAAUGGCUCCUUCGUCUGGAGGUUAUUUCUUAUGGAUGAAAAUUGUCAAUGGCAUGAGCAAAGUCGGAAAAAUGGAGGGGUACUUAAAAGAGAGAGUUAAGCUUCAGAAAUUUGAGGCUGUGGAUAUGGAAUUUUUGGGUGAAAUGAGAAUUUACAAAGAGAGUGAGCUGAGUGGGUAUUUGAAGGAGAAAUAAGACAGAGGAGAAAUCAGCAAGAAAAGAAUCAGGCGAGCUUUGGCGGAGUAUCCGAAGCCAAUCUCCCCCUGCAGGCAACUCUACCUACUCUCCCAGAACAGUCGAGAACAAGUACUCGCAAGAAAAGAAGAUAACAAGGAAUUGAUAAUAAAUCAUGAUAGAUUGGGAAAAAGUGGCAAUCCCUUUCAAAUGGAGAAAAAAAAGAGUUCUUAGAGAAGUCUAAAGAAUGCCCUCAUGAAUAUCUAAAACAAAAGGGUCGAAACUCAAAAAAAUGCAUCAAAGUCGUAUCUUCACACGCGUUGUUCACUUGAUCGGGUGUAUAAACUACUUCAACACUUGCAACCUAAUCAAAAGGCGGCCAUACAAGAAAUAGGGUUUGGAGGUAUUUUAGGAUUGCGAUGUACUAAACUUGAUCAUAAUUUAUGUCAUUGGUUGGUAGAGAAUUUUGACACUCUUUCAUGAAACAACAUGUGUCACUCUAUCCCAAUACUGAUGGUCAAACAUUAAUUUUUCCAUAUCUUGUCCAAUGUUUGUUCGAUUGAGCUUGUGUA
This is a long non-coding RNA of Vitis riparia (riverbank grape), 984 nucleotides long. RefSeq lists it as uncharacterized. The record is from RefSeq and is a predicted model, not a curated record. NCBI's taxonomy places the organism in Eukaryota, Viridiplantae, Streptophyta, Magnoliopsida, Vitales, Vitaceae. The transcript is spliced from 6 exons.